Talpa occidentalis (Iberian mole) is the source of this 259-nucleotide long non-coding RNA. RefSeq lists it as uncharacterized. NCBI's taxonomy places the organism in Eukaryota, Metazoa, Chordata, Mammalia, Eulipotyphla, Talpidae. The transcript is spliced from 3 exons. The record is from RefSeq and is a predicted model, not a curated record.
GGCACUGGCCUCCUAAGCCAGGGAUUGUGGGUUCGAGUCCCAUCUGGGCUUUGCUGAGGUGUCACUGAUGCACAAUAAAAUGCGAUGUGGAAAGAGGACCAUUUGCUAAGCGUCCAUCAGGAAACCAUCCACCACCAUCAAAAUGGCCAACAAAUGUAUCAGCCCCUCCAGGAGACUAUCAGGCAUGUAAUUCCAUAUCCAGUGGCAAGAAGCUCUCCCAGAAAGGCACUGACCUGGAGGUAAGGGUCUCAUUCCAGGA